GCCAGAUGAUGGUCAUUA
Molecule: non-coding RNA, 18 nt
Filed under: Arabidopsis thaliana (thale cress)
Lineage: Eukaryota; Viridiplantae; Streptophyta; Magnoliopsida; Brassicales; Brassicaceae
Source: RNAcentral